GUAGGUGAACCUGCGGAAGGAUCAUUCAUAAUAAAGUGUUUUAUGGCACUUUUUAAAAAUCCAUAUCCACCUUGUGUGCAAUGUUAGAUCUCGUCAAUCUUGGCGAGAUUUUUAUACAUCAACUCAUUCUUUAACUAAUUUGUCUGAAAAAUAUUAUGAAUACUUAAUUCAAAAUACAACUUUCAACAACGGAUCUCUUGGCUCUCGCAUCGAUGAGGAACGCAGC
This 226-nucleotide unclassified non-coding RNA is filed under the name plant metagenome. RNAcentral describes it as "partial contains small subunit ribosomal RNA, internal transcribed spacer 1, and 5.8S ribosomal RNA". The stretch from base 178 to 226 matches the Rfam family "5.8S ribosomal RNA", at positions 1 to 49 of the family's 154-position model. The record is from RNAcentral.